Molecule: ribosomal RNA, 253 nt
Filed under: uncultured bacterium
Lineage: Bacteria
Description: partial 16S ribosomal RNA
Rfam family: Bacterial small subunit ribosomal RNA
Source: RNAcentral
UACAGAGGUCUCAAGCGUUGUUCGGAUUCAUUGGGCGUAAAGGGUGCGUAGGCGGCGCGGUAAGUCGGGUGUGAAAUCUUGGAGCUUAACUCCGAAACUGCAUUCGAUACUGCCGUGCUUGAGGACUGGAGAGGAGACUGGAAUUUACGGUGUAGCGGUGAAAUGCGUAGAUAUCGUAAGGAAGACCAGUGGCGAAGGCGGGUCCCUGGACAGUUCCUGACGCUGAGGCACGAAGGCCAGGGGAGCAAACGGG